This 591-nucleotide ribosomal RNA is filed under the name uncultured bacterium. RNAcentral describes it as "bacterial SSU rRNA". It matches the Rfam family "Bacterial small subunit ribosomal RNA", at positions 338 to 948 of the family's 1533-position model. The record is from RNAcentral.
CCUACGGGAGGCAGCAGUGGGGAAUAUUGGACAAUGGGCGAAAGCCUGAUCCAGCAAUGCCGCGUGAGUGAUGAAGGCCUUCGGGUCGUAAAGCUCUUUUACCAGGGAUGAUAAUGACAGUACCUGGAGAAUAAGCUCCGGCUAACUCCGUGCCAGCAGCCGCGGUAAUACGGAGGGAGCUAGCGUUGUUCGGAAUUACUGGGCGUAAAGAGUACGUAGGCGGUUAUUCAAGUCAGAGGUGAAAGCCCGGGGCGUCAACCCCGGAACUGCCUUUGAAACUAGAUAACUAGAGUCUUGGAGAGGUUAGUGGAAUUCCGAGUGUAGAGGUGAAAUUCGUAGAUAUUCGGAAGAACACCAGUGGCGAAGGCGACUAACUGGACAAGUACUGACGCUGAGGUACGAAAGCGUGGGGAGCAAACAGGAUUAGAUACCCUGGUAGUCCACGCCGUAAACGAUGAUAACUAGUUGUUCGGUCACUUGGUGACUGAGUGACGCAGCUAACGCAUUAAGUUAUCCGCCUGGGGAGUACGGUCGCAAGAUAAAACUUAAAGGAAUUGACGGCUGNGAGNGCGACGACGACGACGAGGAGAG